RNAcentral lists this long non-coding RNA (323 nucleotides) under Ananas comosus (pineapple). RNAcentral's name for it is "long non-coding RNA (ACOM_LNC015333)". Lineage: Eukaryota; Viridiplantae; Streptophyta; Magnoliopsida; Poales; Bromeliaceae. The record is from RNAcentral.
UUUACAAUUUGAUACUAAUUAACUCUGAUCUUUUAAAUCUUCACCUCUUUUUGUCAUAACUUACUCACAAAUUUACAAUUUUAUUUAAUACAUUUUAGUUUANGUAGCUCUGUAUUUUGGAUCCGAACUAUGUAUAUGAAACUCUGUUUUAUCUAGCUUCAGUUUCUCUAGCAGCUCUCUACUACUGUUUGUAGUAGUGUUUGAUUUACAGGUACAGCUAUCGCUUCGUAUACAGGGAAAAUUUCUUUGUAUACGGCGGAUCUGUCGGCGUGCCCGGGGAACGUGUAAUCCGGGGCGUGACAUAGUUAAAGAUAAAAUGGGCU